Carya illinoinensis is the source of this 305-nucleotide long non-coding RNA. RefSeq lists it as uncharacterized. NCBI's taxonomy places the organism in Eukaryota, Viridiplantae, Streptophyta, Magnoliopsida, Fagales, Juglandaceae. The transcript has 2 exons. The record is from RefSeq and is a predicted model, not a curated record.
GGAAACUUGCAAUGCGGGGUGUCGUGGACUAACUAGGUGCACUGAGUUUAUGAAGCUUCAAAAACAUGGUCUCAUUCCAUUGCAAAUUAAUGAUGGCUGAUUUCAUUCUAGAUUGGAGCAAAAUGAAUUAUCGUGAGAUGGUAGAGAAGAACCUUGGGAAGAAGUUCAAUGACUUCGACUACCAGCUUCAUAAAAUUUACAGGGGUUGUGCAACACACCAGGAGGCAUUAAUGAAGUCAACGUCAUUGGUGGAACCAGAUGUAUGGAAAAAGCUAUGUGAGAGAUGAGGGAGCGAUGAUUUCAAG